Molecule: ribosomal RNA, 497 nt
Filed under: uncultured bacterium
Lineage: Bacteria
Description: partial 16S ribosomal RNA
Rfam family: Bacterial small subunit ribosomal RNA
Source: RNAcentral
GAUGAACGCUGGCGGCGUGCCUAAUACAUGCAAGUCGAGCGAACAGAUAAGGAGCUUGCUCCUUUGACGUUAGCGGCUGACGGGUGAGUAACACGUGGGUAACCUACCUAUAAGACUGGAAUAACUCCGGGAAACCGGUGCUAAUGCCGGAUAACAUUUAGAACCGCAUGGUUCUAAAGUUAAAGGUGGUUUUGCUGUCACUUUUAGAUGGACCCGCGCCGGAUUAGCUAGUUGGUAAGGUAACGGCUUACCAAGGCAACGAUCCGUAGCCGACCUGAGAGGGUGAUCGGCCACACUGGAACUGAGACACGGUCCAGACUCCUACGGGAGGCAGCAGUAGGGAAUAUUCCGCAAUGGGCGCAAGCCUGACGGAGCAACGCCGCGUGAGUGAUGAAGGUCUUCGGAUCGUAAAACUCUGUUAUUAGGGAAGAAAAAAUGUGUAAGUAACUGUGCACGUCUUGACGGUACCUAAUCAGAAAGCCACGGCUAACUACGUG